Cebus imitator (Panamanian white-faced capuchin) is the source of this 148-nucleotide unclassified non-coding RNA. The record is from Ensembl. NCBI's taxonomy places the organism in Eukaryota, Metazoa, Chordata, Mammalia, Primates, Cebidae.
GGCCGUAGCUGUCUGCAGUGACUAUUGAGGUAUAACAAGUGUAUUUUGGAGUCCUGCUGUCCCUGUGGAUUGAGCCGGUGAAGCCCCGAGGCACUCUAGGGGUGGAUGGAGAAGGAGCUGGGAGCCUUGGCUGUAAGGGCCCCUAAGG